RNAcentral lists this ribosomal RNA (250 nucleotides) under uncultured bacterium. Its description in RNAcentral is "partial 16S ribosomal RNA". It matches the Rfam family "Bacterial small subunit ribosomal RNA", at positions 524 to 773 of the family's 1533-position model. The record is from RNAcentral.
UACGAAGGGGGCUAGCGUUGUUCGGAAUCACUGGGCGUAAAGCGCGCGCAGGCGGCUAUGUAAGUUAGAAGUGAAAUCCCGGGGCUUAACCUCGGAAUUGCUUUUAAAACUGCAUAGCUCGAGUUCGGGAGGGGAUAGUGGAAUUCCUAGUGUAGAGGUGAAAUUCGUAGAUAUUAGGAAGAACACCAGUGGCGAAGGCGGCUAUCUGGACCGAAACUGACGCUGAGGCGCGAAAGCGUGGGGAGCAAAC